This 321-nucleotide unclassified non-coding RNA is filed under the name Hevea brasiliensis (rubber tree). The record is from RNAcentral. Lineage: Eukaryota; Viridiplantae; Streptophyta; Magnoliopsida; Malpighiales; Euphorbiaceae.
UGAAUCCAGACAGUUCUUGGAGAUUUGAGAGCCUUACUAUUCCUUGGGGAAUUUGUUGAAUGGGACAAUACCCUAUAUCCAAGACCGUCAGCUUCUGCAAGGCAAUAAUGGACGAGGGCAGUUUUUGCAGAUUAUUGCAUCCAGACAAAACCAAAAGCUGGAGGUUGCGAAGCCUUCCAAUCGAAUAUGGCAGUUCUUUUAGGGCAGAAACCCCCCUUAAAUUCAGAUAUGCUAGGCGUUCAAGGGAACUGAUCCAAUUCAAUAGGUCAUCCAUGCUAAUAUUUUCCAUUCUGUUUUGUGAGAAAUCCAACACCCUGAGGG